This is a long non-coding RNA of Nycticebus coucang (slow loris), 402 nucleotides long. RefSeq lists it as uncharacterized. The transcript has 3 exons. The record is from RefSeq and is a predicted model, not a curated record. NCBI's taxonomy places the organism in Eukaryota, Metazoa, Chordata, Mammalia, Primates, Lorisidae.
UGUCUUGGAAAUACGAAAUAGAUUUCCAGAAGGACAAAAGUGCUGACUGAUCCUUCCCGUGUUUGAUCUUGGAGAGAAGAUUGAGCAUUGAGGAAAGAGUUGUGCCCACCUCUGAGGGGGAGAAGCAUGGAGAACAUUCACAGAGGAAUAAAUUCUAAUAUUUCUUUUAGCUGUGGAAUGGAAUGACUGUCAAAGGCGCUGCACUGUGUGGAGGGAAGAUACGACUAGAAAUAUGGAAGUAGAGAGCAAAGGAAGAAGAAAGACCUGUGGGAAGUUGGCUCAGCCUAAAGGACAACUGCCUAUUUUCUGCCACAAGUCAUUGAAGUCAAAUAAAUAAAAAGAAGGGAGCGGGGAUGGGGACUACUCCAGAUUUAAAAAGCUUUAAGUGUCAUGAUAAAUAAA